This 65-nucleotide transfer RNA is filed under the name Luciolinae sp. UPOL 000M03. RNAcentral describes it as "tRNA-Phe". Lineage: Eukaryota; Metazoa; Arthropoda; Insecta; Coleoptera; Lampyridae. The record is from RNAcentral.
AUAUUUUAAGAUAAAAAAUCUCCUUAAUAUCUUCAAUAUUAUGCUCUUUAUAAGCUAUUAAAAUA